AUCCUUUCAUAGUUCAUAAGUGUGAUGAUUGGGUAUUCACACUCUUGUGUGAAAUGUGCCUCCUUCAAACCUUGUUAUGACACUGGUACAUUACCCAGUAGGAUA
Molossus molossus (Pallas's mastiff bat) is the source of this 105-nucleotide small nucleolar RNA. RefSeq annotates it as small nucleolar RNA U13. The transcript has a single exon. Lineage: Eukaryota; Metazoa; Chordata; Mammalia; Chiroptera; Molossidae. The record is from RefSeq and is a predicted model, not a curated record.